This is a long non-coding RNA of Maniola jurtina (meadow brown), 71 nucleotides long. RefSeq lists it as uncharacterized. The transcript has 3 exons. NCBI's taxonomy places the organism in Eukaryota, Metazoa, Arthropoda, Insecta, Lepidoptera, Nymphalidae. The record is from RefSeq and is a predicted model, not a curated record.
UUUAGCUAGCCGGCAGAUUUUUUACACUUGCCUUGCGUUUUAUACCGUCCUAUCUACCGGUACCUAUCUAC